AAGGGUGCGUAGGCGGUUGUGUUAGUCUUGUGUUAAAUUUCUCGGCUCAACCGGGAAGCUGCACGGGAAACGGCACGACUAAGAGGUUGGAAGGGGUUUGCGGAACUCAUGGUGUAGCGGUGAAAUGCGUUGAUAUCAUGGGGAACACCAAAAGCGAAGGCAGCAAACUGGUCCAAAUCUGACGCUGAAGCACGAAAGCGUGGGUCGCGAAUGGGAUUAGAUACCCCUGU
This 230-nucleotide ribosomal RNA is filed under the name uncultured bacterium. RNAcentral's name for it is "partial 16S ribosomal RNA". It matches the Rfam family "Bacterial small subunit ribosomal RNA", at positions 563 to 791 of the family's 1533-position model. The record is from RNAcentral.